This 217-nucleotide ribosomal RNA is filed under the name uncultured bacterium. RNAcentral's name for it is "partial 16S ribosomal RNA". It matches the Rfam family "Bacterial small subunit ribosomal RNA", at positions 1284 to 1500 of the family's 1533-position model. The record is from RNAcentral.
CGUCCCAGUUCGGAUUGUAGUCUGCAACCCGACUACAUGAAGCUGGAAUCGCUAGUAAUCGCGGAUCAGAAUGUCGCGGUGAAUACGUUCCCGGGUCUUGUACACACCGCCCGUCACACCAUGGGAGUCGGAAAUGCCCGAAGUCAGUGACCCAACCGUAAGGAGGGAGCUGCCGAAGGUGGAGCCGGUAACUGGGGUGAAGUCGUAACAAGGUACC